This 2265-nucleotide ribosomal RNA is filed under the name Triticum aestivum (bread wheat). RNAcentral's name for it is "partial small subunit ribosomal RNA". Lineage: Eukaryota; Viridiplantae; Streptophyta; Magnoliopsida; Poales; Poaceae. The record is from RNAcentral.
AUGGCAUUGGCAGCCGCCGUUCUGUUCCUGCUGAUGCUGUUACAUGUGCUGGUAGUGGCACCGGCGUCAGCUCGACGGCGGCCGCCCGUGGCGCGGCCUGGGUGCCGCGACAGCUGCGGCAACAUCACCGUUUCGUACCCCUUCGGCAUCGGCGCCGGCUGCUACCGCGACGACGGCCGAGGCGGCUUCCAGCUCGAGUGCCACGGCUCCCCUCCGCGCCUCACCGUCAGUGGCUUCGACCACCACCUCGCGGGCCUCUCCCUCGCGUCCGGCGAGGCCCGCGCCUACCUCAACGCGACGCGGGAGUGCUUCAGCUCCACCGGUGGCCUCGUCGACCGCACCAACACCUACAUGUCCCUCCAGUACAGCGUCUACCGCUUCUCCGACGCCAAGAACCGUCUGGUCGCGCUCGGCUGCCCCAACCUCGGAUACUUCGUCGACGGCGACGGAUACUACGUCAGCGGCUGCAUGUCCGUGUGCCGCCCCUCCCGGUACGCCAUGCCGGGCCCGUGCACCGGCGUCGGCUGCUGCCAGAGCGAGAUACCCGCCGACAUCAGCUUCUUCGGGCCUUACCUGCGCAACUUCCCGCCGUCGAAGGACUCGGCCGCUUUCACCACCAACGCCACGUCGUGCCACUACGUGUUCCUCGUCGAGGACGAGUGGUUCACCUACACCGACCGUGUCUUCCUCAACCGCACCGACGACUUCGCCGUGCCCCUUGUGCUCGACUGGGCCGUCCGCAACAUCGACAACUGCAGCGCUGCCACGCAAAACGUCACCGACUUCGCCUGCCGGAGCACGGGCAGUCAGUGUGUCGACGCAACCAACGGCCCCGGGUACCGGUGCAGCUGUCCCAAGGGCUACGACGGCAACCCCUACCUCGACAGCGGAUGCGCAGACAUCGACGAGUGCCAUCUGAAAGACGAGUACCCGUGCUACGGUGUGUGCACAAACACGCCGGGGAGCCACACUUGCCAAUGCCCACCAGGUACAAGUGGAGGUGCCACCGCCAAGAACGGCUGCCGGCCAAAGGACAAUUUCACCUUAGCUCUGAAAACCGUCAUAGGAGUCGGCGUUGGCGUGUUCAUGUCGGUUUUCAUGUGCUUCUGGCUCUACCUGGGGCUCCAGAAGAGGAAACUGAUCAAAGCAAAGCGGAACUUCUUCGAGCACAAUGGAGGCGUCAUCUUGCAGCAGCAGAUGCGUUCCAAUAGAGGUACCGCUGUAGGAGGCGGCGGCGGGUUCAAGAUAUUCUCGGAAGAAGAGCUCGAGAAGGCAACCAACAACUUCGCCACAGACCAGGUCCUCGGACGCGGCGGCCAUGGAAUAGUCUACAAGGGCGUCUUGGAGGACGAGACUGUGGUGGCGAUCAAGAAGUCUAAGAUGAUGGAGAAGUCCGAUAUCAAGGAGUUCGCGAGGGAGAUGCUCAUUCUCUCCCAGAUCAACCACCGUAACGUCGUCAAGCUGCUUGGUUGCUGCCUUGACGUGGAGGUGCCGAUGUUGGUCUACGAGUAUGUCUCAAAUGGCACCCUCUACCACUUCAUCCACGGGAAGGAGCUUAACAACGACACAGCCUUGGACACCCGUCUCCGCAUAGCCGCAGAGUCGGCAGAGGCAUUGGCGUACAUGCAUACGUCGGCCUCACCGCCGAUCCUCCACGGAGAUGUCAAGACCGCCAACAUCCUCCUCGACAACAACCUCACCGCCAAAGUCUCGGACUUUGGGGCAUCGAAGCUGGCGCCGAGCGAUGAGGUUCAAAUCGCAACACUGGUGCAGGGCACCUGCGGGUACCUAGACCCGGAGUACCUCAUGACAUGCCAGUUGACAGACAAGAGCGACGUCUACAGUUUUGGCGUCGUGCUUUUGGAGCUUCUCACCGGAAAGAAGGCGAUCUGCUUCAGCGGGCCUGAGGACAGGAGUCUGGUGUCACGCUUCGUAGCGGCCACGAAGGCCGGCACGCAUGAGAAGCUCCUGGACGACCAGGUGAGGAAGGAAAUGGGGCCCGAGGCGCUGGAAGAAGUCACCCACAUCGUGACCCGGUGCGUGAGCGUGAGCGGGGAAGAGCGGCCGGCCAUGAAGGAGGUGGCGGAGAGGCUGGAGGCGCUAAGGAGGUACCAGCGGCGCCCGUGGGGUCAAGCUGGUGGCAGUGAUUCGGAGGAAGGGCAGAGCUUGUUUGGUAGGGAUAUGGAACGGGGUGUGGAGUACAUGUUUGGGCCUCAAGAUGUCCUUGAUCUUGAAGGGGGUAGCACAUAUACUUUAAGCUUGUAG